AGUCAUUUUGGAAUUCAGCUUCCUUCAACACUGAGACUUCAUACCUUCAUUUCCUUGCUUUCCACGGAGAACUCACUGCUGACGUGUGCUUCUUUUUUAAGACCACAGUUUCCUCCGGGGUGUUUAUGGAGAACCUGGGGAUCACAGACUUCAUCAGGAUUGAGCUGCGGGGUAAGCUGGCCACUCUGGACAAGUCACAGGCUCCCACAGAAGUGACCUUUUCCUUCGAUGUGGGGAAUGGACCUUGUGAGGUCACGGUGCAGUCACCCACUCCCUUUAAUGACAAUCAGUGGCACCACGUGAGGGCAGAGAGAAAUGUUAAAGGAGCGUCUCUUCAAGUUGAUCAGCUUCCUCAGAAGAUGCAGCCUGCCCCUGCUGAUGGGCACGUUCGUUUACAGCUCAACAGCCAGCUCUUCAUCGUGUUUCCAUUGUAGGUGGAACGGCCACCAGACAGAGAGGCUUUCUAGGAUGCAUUCGGUCUCUGCAGUUGAACGGGGUGGCCCUGGAUCUGGAAGAAAGAGCCACAGUGACGCCAGGAGUGGAGCCAGGGUGUGCAGGACACUGCAGCACCUAUGGACACUUGUGUCGCAAUGGAGGGAGAUGCAGAGAGAAACGCAGGGGGGUCACCUGUGACUGUGCCUUCUCAGCCUAUGAUGGGCCGUUCUGCUCCAACGGUAAGUGUGACCAAGGAGCAGGUUAUAGGGAAAGUACAUGAAAGUUAAAUAUGAAGAAUGCUUCUGGCAUUUGAUAUUAUAAAGAGAGGAUAA
This 767-nucleotide small RNA is filed under the name Pan troglodytes (chimpanzee). Its description in RNAcentral is "processed transcript". Lineage: Eukaryota; Metazoa; Chordata; Mammalia; Primates; Hominidae. The record is from RNAcentral.